AUUCCGGACUUCCCGGCCAUUUUAACGAGUUCAGACUAAACAGUUUCUUUAGCAAUACAUAUUUGUCACUUGUAACAAAUUUAGAAAGACAGGAGAUCUUUGGUGAGCCAAGCGAUCACAAAUACUGAUGUGGAGGUCUCGCUUCCCAUGUUUUUAUUUUCGGCUGUAAAGGACUAAACACUGGAGAAAAUAGCACCAUUUCUUCCACUAUCUCGACUUAAGGACAAACCUGAUCCCAAACUCUUCGCGCAGAAAUAAAAGUCAAUCAACAAUUCUCACCAGCUGUGCCACCAUGUCCCAUGGUGGGGAAGCCACACAGGUCAUCUGAGCAUCCAAGCUGCUUUUCAAGAAAUCUCCAAUUCCAGGAAGAAUGAGAACAUCAUUCUGUUGUGGGGUGCUCAUCAGAGAAGACUUCUCGGACAUGGGUUUUAGCCAAUAGAAAAUCUUUCUUAGCUGACCAAUGACUGACUACACUGUGUGUUCCAGAUCACGGUGUAGCACUGAGCCUUUCUCAGGGUUGAGCCUUUAAGCACAAAAAUCAUAGCCCAGGUUGACAUACUUCAGUUAUCAAGAACAGUUAGCCAGAAGCAGAACACCGAAGCCAGAAAACAAGGGUGGUACUUCUAGGGACUCUCCCAGAACUAUGGACUUUGAUGAAUUGAGUUUUUGUUUUAGUUUUGGCAGGUAGUGCCACCUACUACAUACAGCCUGAAUGGCAUUCAAUUAGGGAGUCAGCUGUGCUAAGGUCUCAGGGCCUGUUACAUUCCAAAGUUGCAGAACUAAAGAAUGUGUCUGUGAGAACAAAGCUCACCUGGUAGAUGAUUGUGGAAUUCCAGAACAAACGUGUGUAAAGAAUUCAUGUUUCUAUUUCAUUCUUCCUAUUUUCCAGAUGUUAUUCUACUGACAGGAAAGAAAGGCUAUGUGAAAGGCCCCUUUCUGAGCCCUAGUAAUUGCUUGUUAGUAAUCAUGAAAGCAUCAUGAGUUCAUGAAUGUUUCUUCUUUAAAAUUAUUAUAAUACCAUUUGUAUUCAUAAAUUAAGUGUAAAACAUGAUAAUAGUCAAAAGUAUUCAUAUUCCUAACUCUGGGUCUUUUCACUUCUUAAUGAAAGCUAAUUUACACAUAGCAAUUAAGGACCUUGAUUCUGUCAAGAAGCCAGAGGACCCCCACACCCCCCUUCCAAACGUACUGUUUCCUUUUUGAAAUGAACAGUAUGUAUAUUGAAAAGUGCUGUGGCAUCAAGUUAUAAGAAUCAACGAAAGUAGGAGAACAUGGGAGGGUGGCUUUGUCACGCCGUAGGGUCUGUAAUAAAUGAGUUUGUGAAUGAUGAGCAUUAAUAAGGAAGCAGUUCUCAGUCUAUGCAAACUGCUUGCUUAGCCGUGAAUUGCAGUACCGAAAUAACUCGGUUCCAGCUUUUCUAAAUCUGACCAUGUGGUCUCAAAUAAUCCGUAGGAUCUCCUAGCGAGGACCGCAUUGUCUUUUAUAAUGUGCAGAGCCCAGCAGACGGUUCCUUUCACUUCCUAAGUCUUCUGGACAAGAGCUGCCUCUGUGACCACGUGGCCUAACGGAUAAGGCGUCUGACUUCGGAUCAGAAGAUUGAGGGUUCGAAUCCCUUCGUGGUUACUUAACUUUUCUUUUUUUCUCUGAUUUCUAUAAGUUAAAUUAUAACGUCCGAUCAAAAAAUAAAAAAAGACUCCCUCAUUUU
RNAcentral lists this transfer RNA (1702 nucleotides) under Mus musculus (house mouse). Its description in RNAcentral is "predicted gene 11335, transcript variant 2 (Gm11335)". The stretch from base 1548 to 1620 matches the Rfam family "tRNA". Lineage: Eukaryota; Metazoa; Chordata; Mammalia; Rodentia; Muridae. The record is from RNAcentral.